ACGAUGGAGAGUUUGAUCCUGGCUCAGGAUGAACGCUAGCGGCAGGCUUAACACAUGCAAGUCGAGGGGUAGAGGAAGCUUGCUUCCUUGAGACCGGCGCACGGGUGCGUAACGCGUAUACAAUUUGCCUUAUACUGAGGGAUAGCCCAGAGAAAUUUGGAUUAAUACCUCAUAGACUAUUUGAAUCGCAUGGUUUAAUUAGUAAAGAUUUAUCGGUAUAAGAUGAGUAUGCGUCCUAUUAGCUAGUUGGUACGGUAACG
Molecule: ribosomal RNA, 260 nt
Filed under: Bacteroidota bacterium
Lineage: Bacteria; Pseudomonadati; Bacteroidota
Description: Bacteroidetes bacterium (activated sludge metagenome) partial 16S ribosomal RNA
Rfam family: Bacterial small subunit ribosomal RNA
Source: RNAcentral